RNAcentral lists this ribosomal RNA (497 nucleotides) under uncultured bacterium. RNAcentral describes it as "partial 16S ribosomal RNA". It matches the Rfam family "Bacterial small subunit ribosomal RNA", at positions 28 to 507 of the family's 1533-position model. The record is from RNAcentral.
GACGAACGCUGGCGGCGUGCCUAAUACAUGCAAGUUGAGCGCUGAAGGUUGGUACUUGUACCAACUGGAUGAGCAGCGAACGGGUGAGUACCGCGUGGGGAAUCUGCCUUUGAGCGGGGGACAACAUUUGGAAACGAAUGCUAAUACCGCAUAAAAACUUUAAACACAAGUUUUAAGUUUGAAAGAUGCAAUUGCAUCACUCAAAGAUGAUCCCGCGUUGUAUUAGCUAGUGGGUGAGGUAAAGGCUCACCAAGGCGAUGAUACAUAGCCGACCUGAGAGGGUGAUCGGCCACAUUGGGACUGAGACACGGCCCAAACUCCUACGGGAGGCAGCAGUAGGGAAUCUUCGGCAAUGGACGAAAGUCUGACCGAGCAACGCCGCGUGAGUGAAGAAGGUUUUCGGAUCGUAAAACUCUGUUGGUAGAGAAGAACGUUGGUGAGAGUGGAAAGCUCAUCAAGUGACGGUAACUACCCAGAAAGGGACGGCUAACUACGUG